CCUCUCUUCCUCCUCCUGGCUCCCAACUUGUUUCUUCUUUCUUAUGUGCCAGUUGCUGUGCUGAGGAUAUGAAGCUAAAUAAGCCUCUCUCCUUUUCCUCAUGAAGCUCAAAAGCUUAGAUAGGAAGCAAAUAAAUAUAAUAUAGCAUGAUAAUUGCAAGAAUAUUAACAUGUCCAAAAGUUAAAGAGAGAAAGCAUAAAGAAGAAAGUGAUGAGCUCUGAGGGGUUGAGGCUUUUGCUCUCUCUUAAAUUGAUUGCUAUUUAGCACCCAUCAAAAGCUCUGCAGAGGGGACCAUCAUUAACGGCAUUUACGAAGACAUCCACUUAUUCCAACAGGAGGAGGAAGACCAACGCUUCUUAUCAUAAACACAAGUUCCUGCUAUACACAACACAUCCUUGAAUUCUAGGGAAGCCAAGAUGUACAUGAAAUGACUGCAGGUCUUAAAGGUCUUGAAUCUAAUUGUGGCACUGGGGCAUAUGUAGAGAUAAAUAUCACGUAGCAUAUGCUAAGGUGAUUUCGAAGAUCUAUUCUAUCUUAAGACACUGUAAGUCUAAUUAUUAAAUGAGCAAUACAGACAUUUAGUCAAAGUGUGUUCUGUUUUGAGGGAGCUGC
Molecule: long non-coding RNA, 612 nt
Filed under: Homo sapiens (human)
Lineage: Eukaryota; Metazoa; Chordata; Mammalia; Primates; Hominidae
Description: HSALNT0072170
Source: RNAcentral